UGGUUUGGGCUACCACUUACAGAUGGACCCGCGGCGCAUUAGCUAGUUGGUGAGGUAAAGGCUCACCAAGGCAACGAUGCGUAGCCGACGUGAGAGGGUGAUCGGCCACACUGGGACUGAGACACGGCCCAGACUCCUACGGGAGGCAGCAGUAGGGAAUUUUCCGCAAUGGACGAAAGUCUGACGGAGCAACGCCGCGUGAGUGAUGAAGGUUUUCGGAUCGUAAAGCUCUGUUGUUAGGGAAGAACAAGUACCGUUCGAAUAGGGCGGU
Molecule: ribosomal RNA, 271 nt
Filed under: Bacillus sp. GR1-2
Lineage: Bacteria; Bacillati; Bacillota; Bacilli; Caryophanales; Bacillaceae
Description: partial 16S ribosomal RNA
Rfam family: Bacterial small subunit ribosomal RNA
Source: RNAcentral